RNAcentral lists this ribosomal RNA (253 nucleotides) under uncultured bacterium. Its description in RNAcentral is "partial 16S ribosomal RNA". It matches the Rfam family "Bacterial small subunit ribosomal RNA", at positions 524 to 776 of the family's 1533-position model. The record is from RNAcentral.
UACAGAGGGGGCAAGCGUUGUUCGGAAUUACUGGGCGUAAAGGGCGCGUAGGCGGCCUGUUAAGUCGAACGUGAAAUCCCCGGGCUCAACCCGGGAACUGCGUCCGAUACUGGCAGGCUUGAAUCCGGGAGAGGGAUGCGGAAUUCCUGGUGUAGCGGUGGAAUGCGAAGAUAUCAGGAGGAACACCGAUGGCGAAGGCAGGUCUCUGGGCCACUACUGACGCUGAGAAGCGAAAGCAUGGGGAGCGAACAGG